AUUGAACGCUGGCGGCAGGCCUAACACAUGCAAGUCGAACGGUAGCACAGAGAGCUUGCUCUCGGGUGACGAGUGGCGGACGGGUGAGUAAUGUCUGGGAAACUGCCCGAUGGAGGGGGAUAACUACUGGAAACGGUAGCUAAUACCGCAUAACGUCUUCGGACCAAAGUGGGGGACCUUCGGGCCUCACACCAUCGGAUGUGCCCAGAUGGGAUUAGCUAGUAGGUGGGGUAAUGGCUCACCUAGGCGACGAUCCCUAGCUGGUCUGAGAGGAUGACCAGCCACACUGGAACUGAGACACGGUCCAGACUCCUACGGGAGGCAGCAGUGGGGAAUAUUGCACAAUGGGCGCAAGCCUGAUGCAGCCAUGCCGCGUGUAUGAAGAAGGCCUUCGGGUUGUAAAGUACUUUCAGCGGGGAGGAAGGCGUUAAGGUUAAUAACCUUGGCGAUUGACGUUACCCGCAGAAGAAGCACCGGCUAACUCCGUGCCAGCAGCCGCCGUAA
RNAcentral lists this ribosomal RNA (504 nucleotides) under uncultured bacterium. RNAcentral's name for it is "partial 16S ribosomal RNA". It matches the Rfam family "Bacterial small subunit ribosomal RNA", at positions 30 to 523 of the family's 1533-position model. The record is from RNAcentral.